GAUGAAGAACGUAGCGAAAUGCGAUAAGUAGUGUGAAUUGCAGAAUUCAGUGAAUCAUCGAAUCUUUGAACGCACAUUGCGCCCCUUGGUAUUCCAUGGGGCAUGCCUGUUCGAGCGUCAUUUGUACCUUCAAGCUCUGCUUGGUGUUGGGUGUUUGUCUCGCCUCUGCGUGUAGACUCGCCUCAAAACAAUUGGCAGCCGGCGUAUUGAUUUCGGAGCGCAGUACAUCUCGCGCUUUGCACUCAUAACGACGAGGUCCAAAAGUACAUUUUUACACUCUUGACCUCGGAUCAGGUAGGGAUACCCGCUGAACUUAAGCAUAUCAAUAAGCGGAGGA
This 337-nucleotide unclassified non-coding RNA is filed under the name soil metagenome. RNAcentral's name for it is "partial contains 5.8S ribosomal RNA, internal transcribed spacer 2, and large subunit ribosomal RNA". The stretch from base 1 to 120 matches the Rfam family "5.8S ribosomal RNA", at positions 35 to 154 of the family's 154-position model. The record is from RNAcentral.